CCAAAGGCUCUUUUCAGAGCCACUUUACCUUCUUGAUGAAAGAGCUGU
Camelus ferus (Wild Bactrian camel) is the source of this 48-nucleotide non-coding RNA. NCBI's taxonomy places the organism in Eukaryota, Metazoa, Chordata, Mammalia, Artiodactyla, Camelidae. The record is from Rfam.